AGAAAAUACAUAACUACCUAGCCCAAAGAAGCCAAAUAAAGGCUAUACAUUUGAAAUCUGGACCAAAACUAACUAUAUUUUAAGGUAUUUUUUAUCCUCUAACAGGGCAUCUCAAAAAAUUUGAAGAACAGAAUAGAAUGACGCAGUGAAAUGCAAUCACCUGUUAAACUAUCAUCUCAACUCUCUGAGAAUAGCUUUGUCUUUUUUUU
RNAcentral lists this unclassified non-coding RNA (209 nucleotides) under Hevea brasiliensis (rubber tree). Lineage: Eukaryota; Viridiplantae; Streptophyta; Magnoliopsida; Malpighiales; Euphorbiaceae. The record is from RNAcentral.